UAAAAUGUUAAAUUUAAUUUCGACUUAAAUAUAUGAUAUAAAUAUAUCCAUUUUAG
This 56-nucleotide transfer RNA is filed under the name Tamarixia radiata. RNAcentral describes it as "tRNA-Arg". The record is from RNAcentral. Lineage: Eukaryota; Metazoa; Arthropoda; Insecta; Hymenoptera; Eulophidae.